RNAcentral lists this ribosomal RNA (950 nucleotides) under Leptosphaerulina miscanthi. RNAcentral's name for it is "Leptosphaerulina sp. QC-2020a partial large subunit ribosomal RNA". It matches the Rfam family "Eukaryotic large subunit ribosomal RNA", at positions 78 to 1048 of the family's 3401-position model. Lineage: Eukaryota; Fungi; Ascomycota; Dothideomycetes; Pleosporales; Didymellaceae. The record is from RNAcentral.
CCCUAGUAACGGCGAGUGAAGCGGCAACAGCUCAAAUUUGAAAUCUGGCGUCUUUGGCGUCCGAGUUGUAAUUUGCAGAGGGCGCUUUGGCAUUGGCAGCGGUCCAAGUUCCUUGGAACAGGACGUCACAGAGGGUGAGAAUCCCGUACGUGGUCGCUAGCCUUUACCGUGUAAAGCCCCUUCGACGAGUCGAGUUGUUUGGGAAUGCAGCUCUAAAUGGGAGGUAAAUUUCUUCUAAAGCUAAAUACUGGCCAGAGACCGAUAGCGCACAAGUAGAGUGAUCGAAAGAUGAAAAGCACUUUGGAAAGAGAGUUAAAAAGCACGUGAAAUUGUUGAAAGGGAAGCGCUUGCAGCCAGACUUGCCUGUAGUUGCUCAUCCGGGUUUCUACCCGGUGCACUCUUCUAUAGGCAGGCCAGCAUCAGUUUGGGCGGUUGGAUAAAGGUCUCUGUCAUGUACCUCCUUUCGGGGAGAACUUAUAGGGGAGACGACAUGCAACCAGCCUGGACUGAGGUCCGCGCAUCUGCUAGGAUGCUGGCGUAAUGGCUGUAAGCGGCCCGUCUUGAAACACGGACCAAGGAGUCUAACAUCUAUGCGAGUGUUUGGGUGUCAAGCCCGAGCGCGUAAUGAAAGUGAACGGAGGUGGGAACCUUUCGGGGUGCACCAUCGACCGAUCCUGAUGUCUUCGGAUGGAUUUGAGUAAGAGCAUAGCUGUUGGGACCCGAAAGAUGGUGAACUAUGCUUGAAUAGGGUGAAGCCAGAGGAAACUCUGGUGGAGGCUCGCAGCGGUUCUGACGUGCAAAUCGAUCGUCAAAUUUGGGCAUAGGGGCGAAAGACUAAUCGAACUAUCUAGUAGCUGGUUCCUGCCGAAGUUUCCCUCAGGAUAGCAGUAACGUUUUCAGUUUUAUGAGGUAAAGCGAAUGAUUAGAGGCAUGGGGGUUGAAACAACCUU